RNAcentral lists this long non-coding RNA (344 nucleotides) under Chrysemys picta bellii (western painted turtle). RNAcentral's name for it is "lncRNA (ENSCPBG00000019335.1)". The record is from RNAcentral. Lineage: Eukaryota; Metazoa; Chordata; Testudines; Emydidae.
UCCCCUGCUCCCGGGCUGCAGAGUUCGCCCCCCUUCGCUCCCUGCCCUGCUGGGGGAGAAGCGGAAAGGGCAGCAGGAUUUAAGUGCGUUGGUAGCCCAGAGGUGGUGCAUCUGGCUCUGGGAUCCCCUGUCUGGAUUGGCCCCUAAAGCUGCAUCUCUGCUCACCUGGAAAUGCCAAAUCUGUGACGGUUCAGCAUUCAGGAGUCAGUGGGAUCAUGCAGGAAGAUCAAAGAACCUGGAGUGGAGGAGACAGAGGAGUAUAGAGAGAGCUGGUCCCCCAGGAGGAGCAGAGAGGGGACAGCAGAUAUAAAAGCGACACUCCACUCAAUUGUCGUCAAAGGCUG